This is a long non-coding RNA of Eucalyptus grandis, 1306 nucleotides long. RefSeq lists it as uncharacterized. Lineage: Eukaryota; Viridiplantae; Streptophyta; Magnoliopsida; Myrtales; Myrtaceae. The record is from RefSeq and is a predicted model, not a curated record. The transcript has 8 exons.
GUGAUGUGGCCGUUCCCGCCUGAGCCGACGAAGGAGGUGUCCGCUCCGACGCUGUCCUCCUUGGAUCAUACGUCCGUGGUGUCCUUGAACCUGUUCGUGGCGCUCCUCCUUGCUUGCAUUGUGAUCGGUCAUCUCUUGAAAGAGAACCGGUGGAUGAAUGAGUCCAUUACUGCUCUGAUGAUCAUUCGAGUUUAAGGAUGUGUACAUGUGCAAACAUUUCUUUUGGUCUUGUGCCAGAGGCUGAAGGCUUUUGGUUUAAUUCAAGCAGUUUGUUGAAGAAGAAAAGGACCAGGAUAUAUGUUAUGAUGAUGAAGAAGAUAGUGCUGGAAUGGAUGAAACAAUCAUGAGUGAUGUUGACUCUUGCAUCUGCUGGAUAAGCCAGGGCACAUUGUAGAAGGAAAUGAGGAGGAAAUCAAAGAAAAUAGACAAAGAUGUGAAGGAUAACUCAGCAAACCUUGUUGUGAGGCACACUUCAAUGAGGAUGAAAGUGAAGAGAAUGCGAAUGAUGCUGAGUUGGUAAAGCGCCUGAACAAGCAGAGAUGGCGAGCAAUUGCUGCUGUUCAUAGAGGAGGGAAGACCAUUGCUUCUAGAAAUUCUUACAAGGACAAAGGUGGAAGGUCAUCUCACAAUUCCAAAAUUCAAAAACAAUUAAGCUCCUGGUAGUGCACAUGGAAGAAUUCAGCAGCAUGUAGGGGCUGGAGGAAGUCUGAGGAACGAAUGAGGAAAGAGAUGGAAAGAUUUGAUCGUGAAAGAAGGAAGGAAGAAGAAAGGUUGAUGUGAACAGCAGAGAGAGGAGGAGAGAUUGCUACGUGAGCAAAGGCGAGAAUCAAAGCGACGGGAGAAGUAUUUACAGAAAGAAUCCAUUAAGGCGGAGAAAAAGAGACAAAAGAAGAGCUUUGCUGAGAAAAAGAAGCAGAGAGAUGAAAAGCUGCAGUGGAGAAGGCCACUGCUCGCAGAAUUGCCAAGGAAUCCAUGGAGCUUAUGGAGGAUGAACAGCUGAGCUGAUGGAAUUGACCGCUGCAAGCAAGGGGUUGCCUUCAAUUGUUAAUCUGAAACGUUUAGAAGUGAGGAUCUGGUUUAUAUUUCAUUGCACUUGAAUUUGCUUCAUGCUGUCAUUUUGUAGUGAAGGAGCUGAUUUUGACAUCUUGAAAUUAUAGUCAAUAGAUGCAUAGAUAUGUAUCUCUUGUUACUGUUUCUUGUUUCUGUAGUUACACGGAAAAAAAAGAAGAGUUUCUGGUUUGUUGUAUGGUGCUAUUCUGGUAAUUGAGUAUACAUGCGUAUGUACAUAAGCAGGCGCAUGCCUCCA